GUCGGCGUGGUCACGGUACAUGCGCAGAGCGUGCCGGUUACCACCGAAUUGCCUGGGCGCACGUCGGCGUAUCUGGUUGCGCAAGUGCGCGCCCGCGUCGAUGGCAUCGUGCUGCAUCGCGAGUUUACCGAGGGCGGCCAGGUCAAGGCCGGCCAGCGUCUCUAUCAGAUCGA
This 173-nucleotide non-coding RNA is filed under the name Pandoraea thiooxydans. RNAcentral describes it as "Burkholderia sp. ATSB16 Burkholderia RNA 14". It matches the Rfam family "Burkholderia RNA 14". From Rfam's summary of the family: Co-purified with Hfq, expression confirmed by Northern blot. Putative functional homologue of PA-SraF. Overlaps coding sequence. The record is from Rfam by way of RNAcentral. Lineage: Bacteria; Pseudomonadati; Pseudomonadota; Betaproteobacteria; Burkholderiales; Burkholderiaceae.